This 253-nucleotide ribosomal RNA is filed under the name uncultured bacterium. RNAcentral describes it as "partial 16S ribosomal RNA". It matches the Rfam family "Bacterial small subunit ribosomal RNA", at positions 524 to 776 of the family's 1533-position model. The record is from RNAcentral.
UACGUAGGGCGCAAGCGUUGUCCGGAAUUAUUGGGCGUAAAGAGCUCGUAGGCGGUUUGUCGCGUCUGCUGUGAAAUCCCGAGGCUCAACCUCGGGCUUGCAGUGGGUACGGGCAGACUAGAGUCCGGAAGAGGAGAGCGGAAUUCCUGGUGUAGCGGUGGAAUGCGCAGAUAUCAGGAGGAACACCGAUGGCGAAGGCAGGUCUCUGGGCAUUAACUGACGCUGAGGAGCGAAAGCAUGGGGAGCGAACAGG